CGGCUUUAUUAACUCAAUGAUGAUAUAUAUUUGUUUUUACAUUGUUUGCAAACUGAUAUGUGACACGUAUUAAUGUCAAAAUGACAUGCAAUGACAAACAAUGUGGGGCUCAAACACCCGAAUGACAGGUCCCCAUUGAUAAUAAGUAAAAGUAGAAAUAAUUUCAAAUUCUUUAUAUUAAGACAACCAGAUGGUGCCAUUUUCAUGUUUUGUAUUUUAUUUACAUAAAGCCAGGGACAUAUUGCAUCACUCCAUCUUUUACAAAUGAAGCGUUUCUGUUUAGUGAGUCCUCCAGAUCAGAGGCAGUAGGGAUGACCAGGGAUGUUCUCUGUUUAGUGAGUGUGCCAGAUCAGAGACAGUAGGGAUGACCAGGGAUGUUCUCUGUUUAGUGAGUCCUCCAGAUCAGAGGCAGUAGGGAUGACCAGGGAUGUUCUCUGUUUUGUGAGUCCUCCAGAUCAGAGGCAGUAGGGAUGGACCAGGGAUGUUCUCUGUUUAGUGAGUCCUCCAGAUCAGAGGCAGUAGGGAUGACCAGGGAUGUUCUCUGUUUAGUGAGUCCUCCAGAUCAGAGACAGUAGGGAUGACCAGGGAUGUUCUCUGUUUAGUGAGUGUGCCAGAUCAGAGACAGUAGGGAUGACCAGGGAUGUUCUCUGUUUAGUGAGUCCUCCAGAUCAGAGGCAGUAGGGAUGGACCAGGGAUGUUCUCUGUUUACUGAGUCCUCCAGAUCAGAGGCAGUAGGGAUGGACCAGGGAUGUUCUCUGUUUAGUGAGUCCUCCAGAUCAGAGGCAGUAGGGAUGGACCAG
Oncorhynchus tshawytscha (Chinook salmon) is the source of this 800-nucleotide long non-coding RNA. NCBI's taxonomy places the organism in Eukaryota, Metazoa, Chordata, Actinopteri, Salmoniformes, Salmonidae. The record is from Ensembl.